GCGGGCGUGGCGGAACUGGUAGACGCGCCAGGUUUAGGUCCUGGUGAGUUCGCUCGUGGAGGUUCGAGUCCUCUCGCCCGCACCA
RNAcentral lists this transfer RNA (85 nucleotides) under Actinobacteria bacterium HGW-Actinobacteria-9. RNAcentral's name for it is "tRNA-Leu". It matches the Rfam family "tRNA". From Rfam's summary of the family: Transfer RNA (tRNA) molecules are approximately 80 nucleotides in length. Their secondary structure includes four short double-helical elements and three loops (D, anti-codon, and T loops). The record is from RNAcentral. Lineage: Bacteria; Bacillati; Actinomycetota.